CUGGGCGUAAAGGGCGAGAAGGCGGUGAGACAAGUUCUUCCUAAAAGCCUCUGGCCUAACCAAGAGGAAGGGAAGAAUACUGUUUCACUAGAACUCUCAGGGGCUAGCGGAACGGUCGGUGUAGGGGUGAAAUCCGACGAUAUCGACCGGAACGCCGAAGGCGAAGGCAGCUGGCUAGGAGAGUUCUGACGCUGAUCCGCGAAAGCUAGGGGCGCGAACCGGAUUAGAUACCCGGGUAGUCCUAGCUGUAAACGAUGGAUGCUAACUUUGGGGAGUUUCGACCCUCUCCGAGGUAAAGCUAACGCGUCAAGCAUCCCGCCUGGGGAGUACGACGCAAGGUCGAAACUCAAAGGAAUAGGCGGAAGCCCGAACAAGCAGUGGUCCAUGUUGCUUAAUUCGAGAUGAACGAAAAAUCUUACCCAGGCUUGCAUCCAACCUAACUCGUCUGAAAAGACGGGUGAGCCUACUUUGAGGUUGGACAGGUGCUGCAUGGCCGUCGUCAGCUCGUGGUGUGAGUUGUAACCUUAAGUGGCACAACGAGCGCAACCCCUAUCCCGUGUUACAGGUGUCACGGGAAACUGCCGAGUAUAACUCGGAGGAAGGUGGGGAUGACGUCAGGUCUGCAUGGCCCUUAUGCCUGGGGCGGCAAACAUGGAACAAUGGUAGGGACAAAGGGAAGCAACGGCGUGAGCCGGAGCAAAUCCCCAAAACCUACCUCAGUUCGGAUUGAAGGCUGAAACUCGCCUUCAUGAAGGUGGAAUUGCUAGUAAUCGCGGGUCACCAUUACCGC
This 790-nucleotide ribosomal RNA is filed under the name uncultured bacterium. Its description in RNAcentral is "bacterial SSU rRNA". It matches the Rfam family "Bacterial small subunit ribosomal RNA", at positions 554 to 1360 of the family's 1533-position model. The record is from RNAcentral.